Molecule: signal recognition particle RNA, 256 nt
Filed under: Cebus imitator (Panamanian white-faced capuchin)
Lineage: Eukaryota; Metazoa; Chordata; Mammalia; Primates; Cebidae
Description: Metazoan signal recognition particle RNA (ENSCCAG00000005573.1)
Rfam family: Metazoan signal recognition particle RNA
About the family: The signal recognition particle (SRP) is a universally conserved ribonucleoprotein. It is involved in the co-translational targeting of proteins to membranes.
Source: RNAcentral
GCUGCGUAUGGUGGCACACGCCUGUAAUCCCAGCUACUUGAGAGGCCGAGGCAGCAGGAUCUCUUGAGCCCAGGAGCUCUGGGCUGUAGUGCACUCUGCUGGGUCAGGUGUCCACACUAAGUUUGGCAUGAGUAUGGUGACCUCCCAGGAGAGGGAGGUCGCAAAUGGAACAGCUCAGAACUCCGGGGCUGGUCAGUAGUGGGAUUGCACCCGUGAUUAGCCACUGCACUCCAGCCUGGCAACAGUGAGACCCUCU